GACGAACGCUGGCGGCGUGCUUAACACAUGCAAGUCGAACGGAAAGGCCCUGCUUUUGUGGGGUGCUCGAGUGGCGAACGGGUGAGUAACACGUGAGUAACCUGCCCUUGACUUUGGGAUAACUUCAGGAAACUGGGGCUAAUACCGGAUAGGAGCUCCUGCUGCAUGGUGGGGGUUGGAAAGUUUCGGCGGUUGGGGAUGGACUCGCGGCUUAUCAGCUUGUUGGUGGGGUAGUGGCUUACCAAGGCUUUGACGGGUAGCCGGCCUGAGAGGGUGACCGGCCACAUUGGGACUGAGAUACGGCCCAGACUCCUACGGGAGGCAGCAGUGGGGAAUAUUGCACAAUGGGCGGAAGCCUGAUGCAGCAACGCCGCGUGCGGGAUGACGGCCUUCGGGUUGUAAACCGCUUUCGCCUGUGACGAAGCGUGAGUGACGGUAAUGGGUAAAGAAGCACCGGCUAACUACGUGCCAGCAGCCGCGGUGAUACGUAGGGUGCGAGCGUUGUCCGGAUUUAUUGGGCGUAAAGGGCUCGUAGGUGGUUGAUCGCGUCGGAAGUGUAAUCUUGGGGCUUAACCCUGAGCGUGCUUUCGAUACGGGUUGACUUGAGGAAGGUAGGGGAGAAUGGAAUUCCUGGUGGAGCGGUGGAAUGCGCAGAUAUCAGGAGGAACACCAGUGGCGAAGGCGGUUCUCUGGGCCUUUCCUGACGCUGAGGAGCGAGAGCGUGGGGAGCGAACAGGCUUAGAUACCCUGGUAGUCCACGCUGUAAACGGUGGGUACUAGGUGUGGGGUCCAUUCCACGGGUUCCGUGCCGUAGCUAACGCUUUAAGUACCCCGCCUGGGGAGUACGGCCGCAAGGCUAAAACUCAAAGGAAUUGACGGGGCCCCGCACAAGCGGCGGAGCAUGCGGAUUAAUUCGAUGCAACGCGUAGAACCUUACCUGGGUUUGACAUGGAUCGGGAGUGCUCAGAGAUGGGUGUGCCUCUUUUGGGGUCGGUUCACAGGUGGUGCAUGGCUGUCGUCAGCUCGUGUCGUGAGAUGUUGGGUUAAGUCCCGCAACGAGCGCAACCCUUGUUCACUGUUGCCAGCACGUUAUGGUGGGGACUCAGUGGAGACCGCCGGGGUCAACUCGGAGGAAGGUGGGGAUGACGUCAAGUCAUCAUGCCCCUUAUGUCCAGGGCUUCACGCAUGCUACAAUGGCUGGUACAGAGAGUGGCGAGCCUGUGAGGGUGAGCGAAUCUCGGAAAGCCGGUCUCAGUUCGGAUUGGGGUCUGCAACUCGACCUCAUGAAGUCGGAGUCGCUAGUAAUCGCAGAUCAGCAACGCUGCGGUGAAUACGUUCCCGGG
Molecule: ribosomal RNA, 1343 nt
Filed under: uncultured bacterium
Lineage: Bacteria
Description: 16S ribosomal RNA
Rfam family: Bacterial small subunit ribosomal RNA
Source: RNAcentral